This is a non-coding RNA of Pelobates cultripes (western spadefoot toad), 274 nucleotides long. NCBI's taxonomy places the organism in Eukaryota, Metazoa, Chordata, Amphibia, Anura, Pelobatidae. The record is from the annotation of a GenBank genome assembly.
UACACAUUCUCUAUAUACCAUCACGUGAUAAUACAGCUCCUUCUGCACACAUUCUCUAUAUACCAUCACGUGAUAAUACAGCUCCUUCUGCACACAUUCUCUAUAUACCAUCAUGUGAUAAUACAGCUCCUUCUGCACACAUCCUCUAUAUACCAUUACGUGAUAAUACAGCUCCUUCUGCACACAUUCUCUAUAUACCAUAACAUGAUAAUACAGCUCCUUCUGCUCCCAUUCUCUGUAAUGGAUCACCUGGCACCCCGACUGGGUACCUCCG